UCCCUGAGAGCUCAGCUGGUAAAGAAUCUGCCUGCAAUGCAGGAGACCCUGGUUCGAUUCCUGGGUUGGGAA
This 72-nucleotide transfer RNA is filed under the name Bos taurus (domestic cattle). It matches the Rfam family "tRNA". From Rfam's summary of the family: Transfer RNA (tRNA) molecules are approximately 80 nucleotides in length. Their secondary structure includes four short double-helical elements and three loops (D, anti-codon, and T loops). Further hydrogen bonds mediate the characteristic L-shaped molecular structure. tRNAs have two regions of fundamental functional importance: the anti-codon, which is responsible for specific mRNA codon recognition, and the 3' end, to which the tRNAs corresponding amino acid is attached (by aminoacyl-tRNA synthetases). tRNAs cope with the degeneracy of the genetic code in two manners: having more than one tRNA (with a specific anti-codon) for a particular amino acid; and 'wobble' base-pairing, i.e. permitting non-standard base-pairing at the 3rd anti-codon position. Lineage: Eukaryota; Metazoa; Chordata; Mammalia; Artiodactyla; Bovidae. The record is from Rfam by way of RNAcentral. RNAcentral also lists the same sequence under 3 other names.